GAUGAACGCUGGCGGCGUGCCUAACACAUGCAAGUCGAACGAAGCAUCCCUUCCGAUGAAUGGACCAGCUUGCUGGGAAAGGAAUCAAUUGGGAUGACUGAGUGGCGGACGGGUGAGUAACGCGUGGGUAACCUGCCCCAUAGAGGGGGACAACAGCUGGAAACGGCUGCUAAUACCGCAUAGCAGGAAAGAGACGCAUGUCUUUUUCUUCAAAGAUUUAUCGCUAUGGGAUGGACCCGCGUCUGAUUAGCUAGUUGGUAAGGUAACGGCCUACCAAGGCGACGAUCAGUAGCCGGCUUGAGAGAGUGGACGGCCACAUUGGGACUGAGACACGGCCCAGACUCCUACGGGAGGCAGCAGUGGGGAAUAUUGCACAAUGGGGGAAACCCUGAUGCAGCGACGCCGCGUGAGUGAAGAAGUAUUUCGGUAUGUAAAGCUCUAUCAGCAGGGAAGAUAAUGACGGUACCUGACUAAGAAGCCCCGGCUAACUACGUGCCAGCAGCCGCGGU
This 509-nucleotide ribosomal RNA is filed under the name uncultured bacterium. Its description in RNAcentral is "bacterial SSU rRNA". It matches the Rfam family "Bacterial small subunit ribosomal RNA", at positions 28 to 521 of the family's 1533-position model. The record is from RNAcentral.